ACUCCCUGGUUGAGCAUCAGCUGUGGCUCAACCGACCCACGCUUCUGAAUAAAGUGUAUAGAGCAAUCUUCCUUCGGGUGACUUUCGAUCCCAGCAUUUGCCACCACAUUGAACAUCUCACCAUCUGCCAGCUUCUGGUCAAUCAAGUCAGUGUUAGGCUCAUCAUCAAGACCUUCCACGUCGUACUCGCUCAUGCUGUUGCUGAAGGAGACUCCGUCGCAUCCUGACGGCUGGGGGCACGGGGCGUCCGGGUGGAGCUGCUUGUACAAUUUGUCCUCCUGGCCGAGCACUGACGACCAGAGAGCAUUCUCCUUAGCGGUCAUCUUGUCCUGGAGGCACUUCGACUGUCUGACGAGGCGGCGGA
This 364-nucleotide unclassified non-coding RNA is filed under the name Hevea brasiliensis (rubber tree). The record is from RNAcentral. Lineage: Eukaryota; Viridiplantae; Streptophyta; Magnoliopsida; Malpighiales; Euphorbiaceae.